RNAcentral lists this transfer RNA (74 nucleotides) under Eutypa lata UCREL1. Its description in RNAcentral is "tRNA-Pro (TGG) (tRNA-Pro-TGG-3-1)". It matches the Rfam family "tRNA". From Rfam's summary of the family: Transfer RNA (tRNA) molecules are approximately 80 nucleotides in length. Lineage: Eukaryota; Fungi; Ascomycota; Sordariomycetes; Xylariales; Diatrypaceae. The record is from RNAcentral.
GCCCGGAUGGUGUAACAGGUUAGCACAACUACUUUGGUAGUAGUAGGAACUCGGUUCGAAUCCGAGACUGGGCA